ACUAUUCUGUAAGAAUGGUAAGAUAGGCCACAGGAUUUUGGUGGUCACACCAAGUGGCCAUGUUUGAUUAUGCCAUAGGUUUGACCAGUAUGGUCAUAAAUGUUUGUUGUUUUCAUUUCCGACCUCAGGAAAUGUAAAUUAAUACUCCCUCCAUCCAUUUUUCAUUCGCGUAUACUUCUCGGCAGUGACCAAAUUAAGUUUGAAAAAAAAAACCGUUUCAUUUUUGCUGUUGCAUGUGACGUGGCCCACGCCUGCAUGCAUGCGAAUAAAAGAUAGGACACAUGAAGUUUAGUUAGUAAGGGUAAGAAUACCAAAAUACUUUUGAGCAUUCUUCUGUCAUUAAUGUAACUGAAAUAAAAGAGGGACUGUCAGUGGAAUUAAUAUGAUUUAAUCUGGGUGUUUUGUUUAUGUGAACUAAUUUUAGUUUCUUCAUUUUAUUUUAUUUUAGUUCUUAAAAUGAGAAAUACAUAAAAACAGAGUUUUAGUUUUGGUAUCUACCAAUUUAGAAACUAUGAUGGAACAAAAUGGAGGACUAAAACUUAGUCUCUAGAAACUAAACAUCCCUUAGGGCUGAUUUGGUGACCAGGGAUCACGGAGGGAUUAGAGGGGAUUGAGGGGGAAAUUAGUUUAUUUCUCCCUCAAUCCCCUCCGAUCCCCCCGUGAUCCCCUUAUCACCAAAUUAACCCUUAAGGGCUGAUUUGGUGCUAAGGGAUCCUAAGGGGAUCCAUGAGGGAGGAAUCCCCUUGUUAUUCAAAAUUGAAUUGUAAGGGGAUUUCUCCCCCAUGGAUCCCCUUGGAAUCCCUUACCACCAAAUUAGCCCUAAGGGGUGUUUAAAUGCACUAGAGCUAAAACUUAGUCUCUAGAAACUAAACAUCCCUUAGGGCUUGUUCGUUUUGGUGAUAAUCCACAUGUAUUGGGUGGGAUUGAGUCGGUUUAAAUCCAUAACAAGUCAAAAUACAUCUCAAUCCCACCUAAUACACUCAAAUACACAUGUAAUAUCAAUAACCGAACAAGCCCUUAAGGAGAGAGACAUGUCCUAAACGUAUCCUCUUGGAUGGUCGCGUCCAUAUCCUCGAGCAGUGCGGUCUUGCUCAAGCAGCUUUUUGUAACGAUUAAAUACAUAUAGGACAUGCAUACGUCAGCAAGUGACUUAGUGUCGUACCGUGAAGGACGGACGACGCGACGCUCUCCAAACCGGUAACGAUUAUGCGUGGACGAUCAGUCUGCAUAGAUUGGAAUUUGGAAAUUUUGGUCUGCUUCAUUUUUUCUCUCGCUCAUUUUUGGCCCAACGGCCCAGCCCAUUGAGUAAAGCAACUGGUGCCCUAUAUAUACGCAAAAAGACAUGACUGCCUCUGCACACCGCCACUCGCCCACACGCGAAGGCACCUAGCAGCCGCCACUCGCCGAACUGAGGAACACGCCUGGCGACGGGAUACAGCAGCAGCGCGCCCCUCUAUCCCCGACGCGACGGCGCCCUGCAGCUGCAGGCACGGCUCCACACCUCCACUCUUCUCCUCCGUCUCCGUUCAUCUCUGCUGAGUAGUUGUGGUUGUGGCGUGUGGAUUAAUCGCGAUUAAUCGAUCUGAUCGGCGCUCUGGCGAUCAGAAACGAUCGACCGAUUAGAAAACAUUGGUGCUCAGGCAUCUGCAUCGGUCAACACCCCCCCUCUUGUUCUGUUCCGGUACUGCCUUUCAGCCCUCGAGUCCUACUGUAGGUGUUGAAGUAGUAAUUUGUUUUGUGCGCGCAAGUUCGAUUUCAUGUCUGCAUGUCAAUAGCUUUCCAUUUUUUGGUCAUCUAUUUAGUGCAGUUUUGAAGUACAUCAUUUUUUACCGAUUUUUCGUUACUCCAUCUGUGUGCCUGGGAAUUGCGGAUCCCCACCCACCCCACCACGUCUUCUGAAGGGAGUUCAAGAGGAACCCCUUGAAUUCUAUGGGGUUUGUCCGCUCUGAAAUUUCUUUUGCUAUUUGUUUCGAUUUUUUCCGAAGUAUCCAAACAAGACCUCACGAAUCUGCUUAUGUAUCAAUAAUGUGGGUAUAUCUAUUUGUUUGUUCUCAUAGUCUGGCAUAUGUAUUAUAGAUAAACCUGUUCCAAUGGGCAAACAAAAAGAGGGUGUGGACAAAAGAACUGCUAGGAAGAUGAUCCGAUCUACGGAAGGCUGUGCAAAGAGCAUUACUUUCGAGAGGAACAACAAAUCAGACGAUGUGCAGCUUCACGAUCUGCCGAAUGUAAGAGUAAUUCGAAAUAGUUCAAUGCUCCUUUUGCAGUAAGCAUAUAUGUGAAAUGGUUCAAAAGAGUUUGAUAGGACCAGGUAAUCAGUGGUUCAGUUUACUCGGCUGCUUACUCACGCUACUUACUACGUGCAGGACAUCCUAGGUAGCAUACUAUCACGGUUGACAUUCAGAGAAUCCUCACAGAUGGGCCUUGUUUCUCAUACCUGGCGGUCGCUGUGGAGAAGCUGUUGCCGGAAACUGGUCUUCACCAGUGCCACCAUGUUCCAACCCGGAAAUAGGAGCAUCAAACAUACAAGGACCAACUUUGCCAUGAGAGUCAACAGUUUCUUGCGUCAGCUACGCACUCAUCCUACUCUUAAUAAGUUUGUUAUUAAGUUCGGGCUGCGCAGGAAGCACACUCGCCAUGUCAACAGAUGGAUUCGCUUCUGCUCCGUGUCGCGAGCAAGACACAUCACUAUUAAUUUCACUCCUGGAGUGAAAGAUCUUUUCAUGGGUCCAGCCAACAGCAAGUACAUCUUCCCCCUGAACCUUUUCAGUGGUCCAGAAGGCUCCUCUACACAUGUCAGAACUCUUCAUCUGGGCUAUGUCUGUCUGGACACAACCUCGUCUGAUUUCAUGAUCUUUGCAAAUCUUAAGAAGCUCACUCUGCACAAAAUUUCCUUUUUGGGAGACCUCCAGUGCCUGAUGCUGCCAGAAUGCAAUUCUCUUGAGUGUCUGAGCAUCAGCUUCUGUUCCUUGCCUGGUUUAAGCACAUGCCAACCGCUGCAACGUCUGCGAUGUGUUCGUUUGCACUACUGCUAUCUAAAAAAGAUUGAGCUGGAAGCUCCAAAUCUAACAUCGUUUGACUUGACCAACCAACCAAUUCCAUUUGUGCUUGGUGGAUCUCUGAAUGUAAUGGAAGCCAACAUUAAACUGUUAGCUAAGGACUCACCUUAUGGUGAUAAUCUGGACUACAUCUACACUGAGCUUCCUGCUGCGCUGUCUCAUGUGCAUAAACUCUCGAUAACCUCGGGUCUCUUCGUUUAUGAUCAGGUUUUGUCUGUUGCUGAAAGCACUUAAGUUCAUUCAACUAUUACUUACCUUUAUUUGCACCUGACAUGUUUGUUCUUCAUCUCAUACAUAUUUUGACUCUCAUGGUUAUAUUUCAGCUGCAAGGGUUUUCCAAAACCUCAGCCAGAUUCAUCAAUCUGAGGCAUCUGACCAUGUAUUUGCCUCUUUAUGGGGAACCUAAGUCAAUUAGUGGGAUUCUUCGCUUGGCCUACCUACUGGAAUUGGCCCCAGCUCUAGAAGAAUUGGAAUUGCAUGUGAGUGGCUUACUAACUCUAUAAUCUGUUAUAGAUUUUCUCAAGGUAUGCCUUAUCUGUAGAAGUUUUUGUAGAGCAAUUGCAGCACUAGUGUACCAGGCAAAUUGUUUAUCAUCUUUGCUAAUUUUGAAUUGCCUGAAUAUUUAUUAUCCCUCAUUAAUCCAAAACUCUACAGUUCAAAAUUGCAGUAACAUAAAAGUUGUUGAGUGUUGAUGUUGUAGUUAAAAAAGAUUUAAAAAGACAAAAAAGUAGCAAUGUUGCAAUCAAUUGAACAUUGAACACUAUUGUACUUCAUUACCAUACAAGCCGAGGUGCCCAUGCGUUGGUAGUUUGCUUCAAGGUCUCGAAUACAUGAUAGUUUAAAAUUCUUUUGCUGGAACUGGGUGAUGUUCCACAGCUUAGAAAGUGGUCUUAUAAGUAGGCCUGUGGGUACCGUGUACGAAUGUAAAGGAGCAAGUCGAAGUGGUUUCAGCCAAAACAAAUAGACUAACUAUGUACAUUUCAUCUUCUCCACUUCCUCACGCAGCCACAGCCAUUAAUUCCCUCACACUGUCAUGAGCUCACGGUCGCACGACUCCUUCCCCCACUUCCUCUAUGCCUCCCACAACGGUGACCCACUAGGCGAAACAACACUUCUACGCCUCCCUCGACGGACAACCCACCCGAGCCCACACAUCUCCUGCAACGCUGCUCCUCCAGCGACUCUGCUCCUCGCCUCCUCCCACAACGGCGAAGUGCAGUUCUCCUCCCGCGAAACGGCAAGGGUGGCGCUGCUCCUCGCCGCCUCCAUGACGGCGCUCCUCCCGCGACCGGCUGCUUUGGCCACCCAACCAACAUUGUGCAUGCCAAGAAAACAAUGGUGUGGUUGAUGUCAUAAUAAACACAUAUUGGUUUGAGCUCUCACAUAAAACAAUUUUCGUAACAUUCACUAGUGAUGGACAGAGAAUAGACAAAAAAAACACAAGGAACAACAGCCAAUGAUGUAUAUGCCUGUGGCAUUGGGCUGGCUGGUUAAGCAUAUGGCCAACAGUCAUUUGUUGUCAUGUGGCCAAAUGUGAAUAGGUGAGGGUAGUAAAAUGAACCUUUUCCCUUCAAAGAAAUCAAACUUUUAGCCUUUUAUUUUACCGUUCCCAUCGUCUUCUCCAGCCAUUCUACAAGCAGAAGCGCUCCUCCUCAGUUCUGCGCAGAUCUAUCUUGGUUGUGCCCCCCCCCCCAUAGCUACAGUCCUCAUACUACCCUGCUUUCUUCCCCCCUCUCUGGCUUCUUUUUAACGAGGUUGUUCCCGCAUUCCCGGAACGUCCUGGUUUCUACGUUUGGGACCAAACCAAACAUUUAGCUCAAUAUCGCCACACUUAGGCUUUAAACCCCAAAAGGGCAAGCUUGAUGUGGCGGUGAGAGCUGUCUCACUUGAGUCUCAUCAUGUUGGUGAGAGCCUCUGGCACUGGGUCUGCUCUCUUAGGCUUUAAACCCACCAUAUGUCUGAUAUAUUUCAUUGGUCUCAUUUGUGUUGUGUGAAUCAUUUUCACCAAAUGAUAACUUUACCAAGCAAGGUUUUCAAGUCGAUAAGUCGAGUCGACAAGGUACCGACUUGGUGACUAGACGAUAAGUCAGUUGACUAGUCGUCGACUUGCCAAUAUAGUGGAUGUUUUGCCUAUAUAAUUGCUUCAUAUAGACAAUAUAACAUUUAUAUAUGAAGAAAUAGGAUGUUUUACCUCAUUUGAAGCCUGCAAUUGAACGAAACUGAAAUAAACAGCAAGUCUUACCUCAUUUGAAUCCUCAAACUGAACCAAAUCAGACACAUAAGUGAUAAGUCAUAAACUCAUAAGUCAUAACAGCCAUAUAGUUCAAAUUGGAAAACAAAUAGCAAGAAAAUAUAGUUCAAACUAGAAAGGAAAAAAGUCAUAAACUCAAAAGAAAAUAUAGUCCAACCCCUGUGAGGCAGUAGUGUGGCAGUCCCACCUGUCAACAUAGCUGUGGUAGAACAUACCACCACCACUGUCGCUUUUUAAGUAGUGAAGAUUAUUUGGGUGAUACAAUACAGUUUUAUCCAUUUCUGAAGCCAAUUGGAUUUUUUUGUAUUGGCAUUGAUGAAAGUAUGUGAAAUGUAAACUGUAAGUAGUACUUUCAUACGGAUGUCAAAUAUAACAGUCCUAAUUGUGAUGUUAUUAGGGUUACAUUGCUAGAGGACACUAGGACUAGGAUAGUAUGUGUUUCAUUAAACCUUACAAGUAUGUUUGAUUCCACGUUUAUUGGUUUCACAGGCCUGUUCUUAUUGUUUUCAUAUGUAUGAUGUGAUUCUAAAUGUGUAAUUUGUGUUUGCUUAAUUUCUCCUUGUUUAUUUUUUUCCCCACAUUCAUAUGAAAAAUUGAUAUGAUGGAUCUCAUAAGUCUGGCAUCUUUGCAUGCAGGUGAAUGGCGGUGGCGUGGAUGUUGGGUGGGCACUCAGACGGAAUAUGUUACCGUACUCACACAAUAGGCUCAAGAGGGUCCUUAUUUCAGGAGCCACUGUAUGGGAGGGGCUAAUGGAGCUGGCAUACUACAUUCUUCGGAGUGCCAAUAGACUCGAAAGUAUGGUCUUAGAUCCAAAGAUAAGGAUUGGGGGUCCUCAGCUGGAUGGUUGGAUGAUUGAUAUUGGUAGGGAGACGAUCAAAAAUAUUUUUGAGGGAGAGGAGUUUCAGAGCAUUAUUACUAUUCUGUAAGAAUGGUAAGAUAGGCCACAGGAUUUUGGUGGUCACACCAAGUGGCCAUGUUUGAUUAUGCCAUAGGUUUGACCAGUAUGGUCAUAAAUGUUUGUUGUUUUCAUUUCCGACCUCAGGAAAUGUAAAUUAAUACUCCCUCCAUCCAUUUUUCAUUCGCGUAUACUUCUCGGCAGUGACCAAAUUAAGUUUGAAAAAAAAACCGUUUCAUUUUUGCUGUUGC
This 6453-nucleotide long non-coding RNA is filed under the name Zea mays. Its description in RNAcentral is "long non-coding RNA (ZMAY_LNC000654)". The record is from RNAcentral. Lineage: Eukaryota; Viridiplantae; Streptophyta; Magnoliopsida; Poales; Poaceae.